RNAcentral lists this ribosomal RNA (253 nucleotides) under uncultured bacterium. Its description in RNAcentral is "partial 16S ribosomal RNA". It matches the Rfam family "Bacterial small subunit ribosomal RNA", at positions 524 to 776 of the family's 1533-position model. The record is from RNAcentral.
GACGGAAGGUGCAAGCGUUGCUCGGAAUCACUGGGCGUAAAGCGCACGUAGGCGGAUUGCUAAGUCAGGGGUGAAAUCCUGGAGCUCAACUCCAGAACUGCCCUUGAUACUGGCGGUCUCGAGUCCGGGAGAGGUGAGUGGAACUGCGAGUGUAGAGGUGAAAUUCGUAGAUAUUCGCAAGAACACCAGUGGCGAAGGCGGCUCACUGGCCCGGUACUGACGCUGAGGUGCGAAAGCGUGGGGAGCAAACAGG